GUCUUACAGCCGCCGCGGUAACACAUGCAAGUCGAGGGGUAGUUGUCUUCGGAUAAUGAGACCGGCGCACGGGUGCGUAACGCGUAUACAAUCUACCUUUUACAGAGGGAUAGCCCAGAGAAAUUUGGAUUAAUACCUCAUAGUAUUUUUGAAUGGCAUCGUUUGAUUAUUAAAGUUCCAACGGUAAAAGAUGAGUAUGCGUCCCAUUAGCUAGAUGGUAAGGUAACGGCUUACCAUGGCAACGAUGGGUAGGGGUCCUGAGAGGGAGAUCCCCCACACUGGUACUGAGACACGGACCAGACUCCUACGGGAGGCAGCAGUGAGGAAUAUUGGACAAUGGGCGCAAGCCUGAUCCAGCCAUGCCGCGUGCAGGAAGAAGGUCCUAUGGAUUGUAAACUGCUUUUAUACAGGAAGAAACACCUCUACGAGUAGAGACUUGACGGUACUGUAUGAAUAAGCACCGGCUAACUCCGUGCCAGCAGCCGCAGUAAAAC
Molecule: ribosomal RNA, 494 nt
Filed under: uncultured bacterium
Lineage: Bacteria
Description: bacterial SSU rRNA
Rfam family: Bacterial small subunit ribosomal RNA
Source: RNAcentral